Bos taurus (domestic cattle) is the source of this 1008-nucleotide long non-coding RNA. The record is from Ensembl. NCBI's taxonomy places the organism in Eukaryota, Metazoa, Chordata, Mammalia, Artiodactyla, Bovidae.
CAGUCAUUGACUUUGGAGAAAAGUGGAGAGAAGCUUUCUGGUUAUUUUGUGUCUUUCUGUACUUGUGUAUUAUUUGGAUUUUCUAACUAUAUUCCCAUAUGUGGAGAAAACGAGGGAGAGUAAGCAGGACAGAAGUUAUAAUAGAAGUCAAAGUAUGUGAUUUUUCUUUUUUUUUAUUUCUUUAUAAUUAAAAAAGAUAAAUACAUACAAUUGACCGUUGAACAACUCAGGUUUCAACUCUACAGGUCCACUUACGAAGCAGAUUUUUCCCAACAGUAAAUACCAGAGUACCACAUGAUUUUCGGUGCUGUUGGUUGAAUUUGUGGGUACAAGAGCCCUGGAUACAGUCAAACCAAGGAUAUGGAAAAAACAGGCAUAUUAUAUGGAGGGCCAGCCACAUUUUCUUGCCUGGAAAAUCCCAUGGUCAAAGGAGCCUGGAAGGCUACAGUUCAUGGGGUCACAAAGAGUCAGACACCACUGAGCAGCUAACACUUCUAACAUUUGAUUGUGUAGAAAGUUGGUGCCCCUAACCCUCCAAGCUGUUCAAGUGUGAAAGGUCAUCUGAAUAUAAUCAAGUUUUCAGACCUCAUACAGGAAAUCCAAGAAAAGAGGACAUAUUCAGACAAAUUCAGACAAAUUCAAAAGGUGGGACAGCACAUAACAGUCAACUGUUUUCAACAAGAAAAUGUAGUACAAGAAAGAAAACAAAAAGUUGGAUGGGUUGAGGGAACUAUUCUAGAUUAAGAGACCAAAGAGACAGGUAUGAUUCAACCAAAUGGACUAUGUCAUUUGGUUGGACCUUGGCAGGGUAAGUGGGGGAACGUGUACAAGGACUGGUUUAGGUAUUAUUAAGGACUUAUUGUUUGUUUUUUAUGCCUGAUGAUGGUUUUAUGGUUAUGCAGGAAAAUGUCUUUAUUUCUCAGAAAUGCAUAUUUAUGGGGGAAAAUCAAGUCUUUCACAAUCUGGCUUAUACAUAUGCCAAGUUCAAAAGACAGGAUAACGAAACAG